This 253-nucleotide ribosomal RNA is filed under the name uncultured bacterium. RNAcentral describes it as "partial 16S ribosomal RNA". It matches the Rfam family "Bacterial small subunit ribosomal RNA", at positions 524 to 776 of the family's 1533-position model. The record is from RNAcentral.
UACAGAGGGUGCGAGCGUUGUUCGGAAUUAUUGGGCGUAAAGGGCGCGUAGGCGGUGCGGUAAGUCACCUGUGAAAUCCCCUGGCUCAACUGGGAGCUUGCAGGCGAAACUGCCGUGCUGGAGUGUGGGAGAGGUGAGUGGAAUUCCCGGUGUAGCGGUGAAAUGCGUAGAUAUUAGGAAGAACACCGGUGGCGAAGGCGGCUCUCUGGAACGGUACUGACGCUGAGACGCGAAAGCGUGGGGAGCGAACAGG